RNAcentral lists this non-coding RNA (238 nucleotides) under Erysipelotrichaceae bacterium. RNAcentral's name for it is "T-box sequence". It matches the Rfam family "T-box leader". Rfam says of the family: Uncharged tRNA acts as the effector for transcription antitermination of genes in the T-box leader family. T-boxes are found upstream of many aminoacyl-tRNA synthetase genes and some amino acid biosynthetic genes usually in Gram-positive bacteria. Lineage: Bacteria; Bacillati; Bacillota; Erysipelotrichia; Erysipelotrichales; Erysipelotrichaceae. The record is from RNAcentral.
UGAAAUGCGUUGACGGGAAAUAGUAGGUAUAUGGACAUGACAGAGAGUCUUCGGCCGGUGCAAGAAGAUAUGCGAAGUAUUCGGAACACAUCCCUGAGCAGCAAAGGUGAAUUCAGUAGCUUUUGCCGGUAUCCUGCAUCCGUUACCGUGCUAGAGUAUGAUGGUACUCGAAGAGAUUGAUAUCGUGAGGUAUCAAUAAAAUAAGGUGGAAUCACGUAAGGUAACUUUCGUCCUUUGG